RNAcentral lists this ribosomal RNA (565 nucleotides) under uncultured bacterium. RNAcentral's name for it is "bacterial SSU rRNA". It matches the Rfam family "Bacterial small subunit ribosomal RNA", at positions 358 to 916 of the family's 1533-position model. The record is from RNAcentral.
GGAAUUUUGGACAAUGGGCGCAAGCCUGAUCCAGCAAUGCCGCGUGCAGGAUGAAGGCCUUCGGGUUGUAAACUGCUUUUGUACGGAGCGAAACGGCUUCCCCUAAUACGGGGAGCUAAUGACGGUACCGUAAGAAUAAGCACCGGCUAACUACGUGCCAGCAGCCGCGGUAAUACGUAGGGUGCGAGCGUUAAUCGGAAUUACUGGGCGUAAAGCGUGCGCAGGCGGUUAUAUAAGACAGAUGUGAAAUCCCCGGGCUCAACCUGGGACCUGCAUUUGUGACUGUAUAGCUAGAGUACGGUAGAGGGGGGUGGAAUUCCGCGUGUAGCAGUGAAAUGCGUAGAUAUGCGGAGGAACACCGAUGGCGAAGGCAAUCCCCUGGACCUGUACUGACGCUCAUGCACGAAAGCGUGGGAAGCAAACAGGAUUAGAUACCCUGGUAGUCCACGCCCUAAACGAUGUCAACUGGUUGUUGGGUCUUCACUGACUCAGUAACGAAGCUAACGCGUGAAGUUGACCGCCUGGGGAGUACGGCCGCAAGGUUGAAACUCAAAUGAAUUGACGG